Molecule: ribosomal RNA, 253 nt
Filed under: uncultured bacterium
Lineage: Bacteria
Description: partial 16S ribosomal RNA
Rfam family: Bacterial small subunit ribosomal RNA
Source: RNAcentral
UACGAAGGGGGCUAGCGUUGCUCGGAAUUACUGGGCGUAAAGCGCACGUAGGCGGCUUUCUAAGUCGGGGGUGAAAUCCUGGAGCUCAACUCCAGAACUGCCUUCGAUACUGGAGAGCUUGAGUCCGGGAGAGGAGAGUGGAAUUCCCAGUGUAGAGGUGAAAUUCGUAGAUAUUGGGAAGAACACCGGUGGCGAAGGCGGUUCUCUGGGCCUUACCUGACGCUGAGGAGCGAAAGCGUGGGGAGCGAACAGG